RNAcentral lists this ribosomal RNA (771 nucleotides) under uncultured bacterium. RNAcentral's name for it is "bacterial SSU rRNA". It matches the Rfam family "Bacterial small subunit ribosomal RNA", at positions 8 to 796 of the family's 1533-position model. The record is from RNAcentral.
AGAGUUUGAUCUGGCUCAGGACGAACGCUGGCGGCGUGCUUAACACAUGCAAGUCGAGCGGAAAGGCCCUUCGGGGGUACUCGAGCGGCGAACGGGUGAGUAACACGUGAGUAACCUGCCUCUGGCUUUGGGAUAACCCUCGGAAACGGGGGCUAAUACCGAAUAUUCAUUCCUGACGGCAUCGUUGGGGUUGGAAAGUUUUUCGGCCAGGGAUGGGCUCGCGGCCUAUCAGCUAGUUGGUGGGGUAAUGGCCUACCAAGGCGUCGACGGGUAGCCGGCCUGAGAGGGCGACCGGCCACACUGGGACUGAGACACGGCCCAGACUCCUACGGGAGGCAGCAGUGGGGAAUAUUGCACAAUGGGCGGAAGCCUGAUGCAGCGACGCCGCGUGAGGGAUGACGGCCUUCGGGUUGUAAACCUCUUUCGACAGGGACGAAGCGCAAGUGACGGUACCUGGAGAAGAAGCACCGGCCAACUACGUGCCAGCAGCCGCGGUAAGACGUAGGGUGCGAGCGUUGUCCGGAUUUAUUGGGCGUAAAGAGCUCGUAGGCGGCUCGUCGCGUCGACCGUGAAAACCAGCAGCUUAACUGCUGGCUUGCGGUUGAUACGGGCGGGCUAGAGUUCGGUAGGGGAGACUGGAAUUCCUGGUGUAGCGGUGAAAUGCGCAGAUAUCAGGAGGAACACCGGUGGCGAAGGCGGGUCUCUGGGCCGAUACUGACGCUGAGGAGCGAAAGCGUGGGGAGCGAACAGGAUUAGAUACCCUAGUAGUCC